This 491-nucleotide ribosomal RNA is filed under the name Escherichia coli. Its description in RNAcentral is "partial 23S ribosomal RNA". It matches the Rfam family "Bacterial large subunit ribosomal RNA", at positions 2160 to 2650 of the family's 2925-position model. The record is from RNAcentral. Lineage: Bacteria; Pseudomonadati; Pseudomonadota; Gammaproteobacteria; Enterobacterales; Enterobacteriaceae.
AAGUGUGGACGCCAGUCUGCAUGGAGCCGACCUUGAAAUACCACCCUUUAAUGUUUGAUGUUCUAACGUUGACCCGUAAUCCGGGUUGCGGACAGUGUCUGGUGGGUAGUUUGACUGGGGCGGUCUCCUCCUAAAGAGUAACGGAGGAGCACGAAGGUUGGCUAAUCCUGGUCGGACAUCAGGAGGUUAGUGCAAUGGCAUAAGCCAGCUUGACUGCGAGCGUGACGGCGCGAGCAGGUGCGAAAGCAGGUCAUAGUGAUCCGGUGGUUCUGAAUGGAAGGGCCAUCGCUCAACGGAUAAAAGGUACUCCGGGGAUAACAGGCUGAUACCGCCCAAGAGUUCAUAUCGACGGCGGUGUUUGGCACCUCGAUGUCGGCUCAUCACAUCCUGGGGCUGAAGUAGGUCCCAAGGGUAUGGCUGUUCGCCAUUUAAAGUGGUACGCGAGCUGGGUUUAGAACGUCGUGAGACAGUUCGGUCCCUAUCUGCCGUGG